This 1043-nucleotide long non-coding RNA is filed under the name Anas platyrhynchos platyrhynchos (common mallard). Its description in RNAcentral is "lncRNA (ENSAPLG00000024252.1)". Lineage: Eukaryota; Metazoa; Chordata; Aves; Anseriformes; Anatidae. The record is from RNAcentral.
GUCCCAUCUCUCUGCUCUGUGGGUAUGGUGACUGCACCUUGUCCUGUGCAUGUAACAUUGCAUUUUGCUUCCUAAAAUAUGUCUUUGAGCCAAAGCAUGUGAUCAGACAGUCUUGAUGGACCUGAGUGCCCUGCCCUCCUCAUUACUUACUGCUGUGACAGCUUCUCUGACCUAAACAGCUUACAUCAGCUGCAAGUAAUAUAUUUACUUUCAGAAAGCUGAUGACAAUGUUGACUACCUCUGGGCAAGGCAGUAGAUCCUGACAACCAACCAUUGGUGAUGUUUUCUCACUGAAAAAUCCCUUCCAGCUUCUGCAAGUGAGCCAGUUCCCAAUCUAUUGAAUGUAUGCUUUAUUUCUAUAGAGCAGCAGCAGCUUUUCAAAAAGAAGGUUGUGCAAUGUUCAGUCAUGCACCACAUGAAAGUUUGUAUUAUGCCUGUAACAGACUCUUUGAUGAACUGAACUCAUAAUUUUGUCGGAAAAUGAGAUCAGGCCUAUUUCCCAUGAAGAACAUUGACUGACAUUUGUUGCAAAUGUAAUUAUUUUGUGAGGCGGAGUGGUGUCACCUCACCUAAUUUUAACCAAAUAAUAGUUUGCUGUCUGAUCCAAACCAGCUGCCAAGGUUCGUUCUGUAGUCAACAGAGCGAGAUCAGCCCUCCAGCAGCUGAAUCAUCUAAUCUACGUUAGACAUCUGUCUUACAGUAGGAUGAUUGCUGUUUGGAAGAGCCUACCUGUCUCCAUUGACUGAAGAAGGAGCAAGGAUUAAUGUUGAGCUAGCCUGUGUAUAGCUACCUAGGUGAAAUCACUUCUUCUGUUAAAAUAUUGGCACAGUUUUACCAUUCCUUUCUCCAACUGUUGGGAAAUGCAUUGUUCCCCCUUCAGGACUCUCAUGACUCAUAGUCUGCGGAGUUUCAGCGUGCAUCACUCCAAAGAUAUCAGAAUAGUGCUGGAAGGGCACAGAUGUACAGCUGCAACAAUGAAGUGCUGAAACCAGCCAAGGAUUUAGAAGCUAUUAAUUACAAAUAAAACAAAUGAGUGCAUUUCA